AAGUACCCCAUGCAUUCGGCCACAGGAGAGCUCUUCAAUUGUGGGUACUUCCAUCGCAGCAAGGCAUUCGUCUGCGCCUCUUCUUUACGGCGAAUCUAUUUUCCGUUAUCAGCUCCGAUCAGGAUCAGUUCAGGCCACCAAGUUGGGACUUAGACACGAGUGGGAAGCUCCUUGGUGAAUCAUAAUAACGUAGUGAAUCGCAUGGCCUUGCGCCGGCGAUGGUUCAUUCAAAUUUCCGCCCUAUCAACUUUCGAUGGUAGGAUAGUAGCCUACCAUGGUGGCAACGGGUAACGGGGAAUUAGGGUUCGAUUCCGGAGAGGGAGCCUGAGAAAGGCUACCACAUCCAAGGAAGGCAGCAGGCGCGCAAAUUACCCAAUCCCGAUACGGGGAGGGAG
Molecule: non-coding RNA, 395 nt
Filed under: Penicillium rubens Wisconsin 54-1255
Lineage: Eukaryota; Fungi; Ascomycota; Eurotiomycetes; Eurotiales; Aspergillaceae
Description: Penicillium chrysogenum Wisconsin 54-1255 Eukaryotic small subunit ribosomal RNA
Rfam family: Eukaryotic small subunit ribosomal RNA
Source: Rfam by way of RNAcentral